RNAcentral lists this ribosomal RNA (442 nucleotides) under uncultured bacterium. Its description in RNAcentral is "partial 16S ribosomal RNA". It matches the Rfam family "Bacterial small subunit ribosomal RNA", at positions 338 to 795 of the family's 1533-position model. The record is from RNAcentral.
CCUACGGGAGGCUGCAGUAGGGAAUCUUUCACAAUGGGCGAUAGCCUGAUGGAGCAACGCCGCGUGCAGGAUGAAGGCCUUCUGGUUGUAAACUUCUUUUAUAAGCGAGAUAUAUUAUGGUAACUUAUGUAUAAUGCUCGUCUAACUACGUUCCAGCAGCCGAGGUCCUACGUAGGAUACGAGCAUUAUCCGGAGUGACUGGGUGUAAAGAGUUGCGUAUGUGGCAUAAUAAGUAGCUAGUGAAAUCUGGUGGCUUAACCAUUCAGACUAUUAGCUAAACUGUUAAGCUCGAGACCGUUAGGGGUAACUGGAAUUUCUAGUGUAGGAGUGAAAUCCGUAGAUAUUAGAAGGAACACCAAUAGCGUAGGCAGGUUACUGGGACGGGUCUGACACUAAGGCACGAAAGCGUAGGGAGCAAACGGGAUUAGAUACCCCAGUAGUC